This 756-nucleotide unclassified non-coding RNA is filed under the name Hevea brasiliensis (rubber tree). The record is from RNAcentral. Lineage: Eukaryota; Viridiplantae; Streptophyta; Magnoliopsida; Malpighiales; Euphorbiaceae.
GCUUUCAAUAAAUAAAUGAAAGUGGACCAACCUUAAAGCCAAUGAAUCCUGCCAUACUCUAAUUCAAGCAAGCUCUCUCUUUGUAUAUACAUAAAAGCUUUAUCUUUUAUCCGUCUAUCAAUAUACGUUAAAGCUUUACCUUCAGCAGCCAUGGAAGCUCUCUCUCAGGUCUUAACUACCCUUAAAACCAUAACCAUACUCUGCAUCAAUCUCCUCCUCCUCAAAGUCACAGCUGCAAUUCAAUCUCUCAUCAGAAUAUUCUCCGGCCAACGCGUAUUCACCACCACCCAGUUCCUCAGUUACCUUGAACAAAUGAAUCCGGGGGUUCGCUACACAAAACUGCUCAUGAAGCUGCAGGAAACACCACCAGAAUUAUGUGCAGUGUGUCUAUCGGAGUUUGCUGUGGACGAAACCGUAAGAGACUUGAAGUGCAAGCAUGUGUUCCACAAAGAUUGCUUGGACAAGUGGUUGCUGCAGUGCAGGUCUACUUGCCCACUUUGCAGGACUAAGUUGUUGCCGGAUGAAGUGGUCGCUGGUUAUCGCCGGUUGAAAGAUGAUCAGAUAGGGUAUGAUCGGAGCAAUGAGGAGAUUGUUUUCUUGGUAUCUCAUGGUAAUGGUUUUUCAAGUUUUUGAUGAUAAAAAUUAAUUUGUGGAUUUAGAAAGGAAAUUUUUGACAGCAGAAGGGAAUUUUAAGUUCUUCAGCUUCUGAAGAAAUUAUGUAAAUGGUGUUGUUUUGGAAUUGAAAUUGAAAUCUAU